AGGACGAACGCUGGCGGCGUGCUUAACACAUGCAAGUCGAGCGGAAAGGCCCUUCGGGGUACUCGAGCGGCGAACGGGUGAGUAACACGUGAGCAACCUGCCCUUAGCUCUGGGAUAGCUCCGGGAAACCGGAAUUAAUACCGGAUAUGACCUAGGCCGACAUCGGCCGUGGUGGAAAGUUUUUCGGCUAGGGAUGGACUCGCGGCCUAUCAGCUAGUUGGUGGGGUAAUGGCCUACCAAGGCGACGACGGGUAGCCGGCCUGAGAGGGCGACCGGCCACGACUGGGACUGAGACACGGCCCAGACUCCUACGGGAGGCAGCAGUGGGGAAUCUUGCGCAAUGGGCGAAAGCCUGACGCAGCGACGCCGCGUGGGGGAUGAAGGCCUUCGGGUUGUAAACUCCUGUCAUUUGGAACAAUGCGCAAAUAUUAACUGUAUUUGCGUUGAUAGUACCAGAAGAGGAAGGGACGGACUAACGUCUGUGCCAGCAGCCGCGGU
RNAcentral lists this ribosomal RNA (498 nucleotides) under uncultured bacterium. RNAcentral describes it as "SSU rRNA". It matches the Rfam family "Bacterial small subunit ribosomal RNA", at positions 26 to 521 of the family's 1533-position model. The record is from RNAcentral.